Molecule: ribosomal RNA, 253 nt
Filed under: uncultured bacterium
Lineage: Bacteria
Description: partial 16S ribosomal RNA
Rfam family: Bacterial small subunit ribosomal RNA
Source: RNAcentral
GACGAACCGUGCGAACGUUGUUCGGAAUCACUGGGCUUAAAGGGCGCGUAGGCGGGCUGUCAAGUCGGUGGUGAAAUCUUUCGGCUCAACCGGAAAAUCGCCUUCGAUACUGGCGGCCUUGAGGGGGGUAGGGGCAUGCGGAACUUCCGGUGGAGCGGUGAAAUGCGUAGAUAUCGGAAGGAACACCGAUGGCGAAAGCAGCGUGCUGGACCCUUUCUGACGCUGAGGCGCGAAAGCCAGGGGAGCAAACGGG